RNAcentral lists this ribosomal RNA (325 nucleotides) under uncultured eukaryote. Its description in RNAcentral is "partial 18S ribosomal RNA". It matches the Rfam family "Eukaryotic small subunit ribosomal RNA", at positions 1470 to 1796 of the family's 1831-position model. The record is from RNAcentral.
CCCUUAGAUGUUCUGGGCUGCACGCGCGCUACACUGACGCACGCAACAGGUGCCUGCUCCGAGAGGACUGGGUAAUCAUUUGAGUGUGCGUCGUGAUGGGGAUAGAAUAUUGUAAUUAUUACUCUUCAACGAGGAAUUCCUAGUAAGCGCAAGUCAGCAGCUUGCGCUGAUUACGUCCCUGCCCUUUGUACACACCGCCCGUCGCUCCUACCGAUUGAGCGGUCCGGUGAAGACUCAGGAGAUGGGCGCGUGCUUGGUUCGCCAACUGCGCUGCCUGCCAAAUUUGUCUAAACCUUAUCGCUUAGAGGAAGGAGAAGUCGUAACA